AGUGAACGCUGGCGGUAGGCCUAACACAUGCAAGUCGAACGGCAGCACAGUAAGAGCUUGCUCUUACGGGUGGCGAGUGGCGGACGGGUGAGGAAUACAUCGGAAUCUACUUUUUCGUGGGGGAUAACGUAGGGAAACUUACGCUAAUACCUCAUACGACCUACGGGUGAAAGCAGGGGAUCUUCGGACCUUGUGCGAUUGAAUGAGCCGAUGUCGGAUUAGCUAGUUGGCGGGGUAAAGGCCCACCAAGGGGACGAUCCGUAGCUGGUCUGAGAGGAUGAUGAGCCACACUGGAAAAGAGACAAGGACCAGAAUCCUAAGAAGGGCGGCAGAGGGGAAUAUUGGACAAUGGGAGCAAGCCUGAUCCAGGCAUACCGCGUGGGUGAAGAAGGCCUUCGAGUUGUAAAACCCUUUUGUUGGGAAAGAAAAGCAGCAGGUUAAUACCCCGCUGUUCUGACGGUACCCAAAGAAUAAGCACCGGCUAACUUCGUG
This 492-nucleotide ribosomal RNA is filed under the name uncultured bacterium. RNAcentral describes it as "partial 16S ribosomal RNA". It matches the Rfam family "Bacterial small subunit ribosomal RNA", at positions 29 to 507 of the family's 1533-position model. The record is from RNAcentral.